GAGCAAGAUAGAGCUAAGCUAGGGUUUGAUCAAGAGAGAAAGCUUGAGCAAGAGAAGGCUUGGAUCAUCACCAAACUUAAGGUAAGAGAUUAGAAUUCAUGAUUCUUGAGUGGCAAGAAGAGGGGAGAUUGUCUAUGUCUCCAUUCCCGAACUCUCCCACUCAAUUUCUUUUAGACUUUUGAUUAAGCUUUUGUAUGUGAGUGUGAUG
RNAcentral lists this long non-coding RNA (208 nucleotides) under Trifolium pratense (red clover). RNAcentral's name for it is "long non-coding RNA (TPRA_LNC005609)". Lineage: Eukaryota; Viridiplantae; Streptophyta; Magnoliopsida; Fabales; Fabaceae. The record is from RNAcentral.